GUCAAAUCAGAUUGCAGCUGCUAGUCUAUACCACAGCCACAGCAACACUUGAUACAAGUCAUAUCUUCAACUUAUGGUGGAGCUUGUGGCAAUGUGAGAUCCUUAAUCUACUGAGCGAGGCCAGGGGUUGAACCCGAAUCCUCAGGAACAAAAAGUCGGGUUCUUAACUCACUGAGCCACAAUGGGAACUCCUUGAACAGGUCUUGAUAUGCAUUGGACUGUCAUUAACCAUGACCUAUAGCCCACUGUGUAAAGAACAAACACUGCAUUUUAAUAAGUACUUCAAAGGAUAUAUUACUAAAUCUCAUGUCACACAACCAAAUUUUACUUUGACCUUUUCUUAAACACAGUUUUGAAAGAUGAGGUGAUGCAUCCUAAUCAUUUUCAAGCACCCCUAAUCCGGCCAUUAAUCAAAAUGAUAUCAUUUAAACCAGCCCUUAUUUUGAAAGCCAGUGCAGAUAAAGCACCACAGAGCUGGCUUGAAGUCUUUGGGAAAAAAUGAUGCAUUGUAAUUCUGUCAGUGAUCCUGGUACCUUUUGAAAACGAUUUGCUAAAAGUGUAAAGAUGUGGGAGAGUUGGCAAUAAUUAUAGUAAGUAGACAGCAAUUUGGUACCUACUUAAAGAAGCUGAAAUGGAAUUUCUAAGCGUGAGAAAGUAUCUGCUUUGGUAAAAGUGGAGACAUAGGGAAUUUCUGUCAUGAACUAACAGUAAAAUUGUCAAUUGAACAGAACAGCCUCCUGCAAAGUAAAUGGCAUGUGGAGCUGUGACAAAUAUAUAAAAGCAUGUAAGAGGGGACAUCACCAUGUCAUGGAUUGUUGCUCUCAGAGGCAGGAAAACUGGACCAGAAGUAAGAGGAGCUUCAAGAAUUGCCAUUCUCAGGAGUUCCUGUUGUGGCUCAGCAGGUUAAGAACCAGAUGUAGUGUCUGUGAGGAUUUGGCUUGAUCCCUGGCCUUGCUCACUGGGCUAAGGAACUGGCAUUGCAACAAGCUGCAUUGUAGGUUGCAGAUGCGGCUCAGAUCCUGUGUUGUUGUGGCUGUAGUGUAGACUGCAGCUGCUGCUCUGCUUCAGCUCCUAUCCCAGGAACUUCUGUACGCCAUGGGUGCAGCCACAAAGAGAAAACAAACAAAAAAGAAUUGCCAAAUUGCUAGUCUCAGCUGCAAGUGUUCUGUGCUGAACCCUCUAUGGGGUAUUAGAGCUAAGGAUUAGGUACCCACUGUCCAAAGUCUCAGGGUGUAUGGGAAUCAAACCUCUUUAGGAACCAGAAGAUGAUCCCAGGAAAUUACUGCUGGUGGAGAUUCAAGGAGAGAGAAGCCAGCUUUUGUGAUGGGUACAGACCCACCCAGGAAAAUCACUGCAUCUCAGAAAUGACGGCACUGGAGAGUGAGGAAGGAUAUUUGUAGGUUAAGGGGGAAAACUCAAGUGUCUCACAAGUAAAAAACCCCAAAGAUGAGGAGUUCCUGUUGUGUGUCACAAGAUCUGACUUCUCUGCAGUGGCUGGGGUUCCAUCCCUGGCCUGAUGGCUCAGUAGGUUAGAGGAUCCGGCAUUGCUGUGAUGCAGCCAAAAACAAAAACAAAACCAAAACAAAAACCCAAAGCUGAAAUUCAAUGUGUAAAAAAAUCAACCAUUAUAAUCACAUGGAUGUUUUCUUUUUAAUCACAGCUUUAUUACGACUUCCAACUUUGUAAUUGAUGUUUAUACCAAAACAUUUUCCUAAUUGACUGCCAAAAGAACACAUUUGCUGAACUGCUUUAUUAAAGCAUUGUGAAAUUGUUUGAUAUCAUCUGCCAAUUAAAGGAUUUCUAAAAAGAGCAUCCUACUUCAUUUUUGGUAUUUGAUUCAAACUAUAAUAACCAUGUCUUUUUUAUAAAAGGUUUGGAUUGUUUUAGUGACAGUAAUUUAAACAUUUGAAAAUAAUGCAUAUCCUGGCGCAGGAUAUUCAAAGUACAUGAAUCAUUACAUUUAAAAAAAUGAAUAUGUAUGCUCAGAGAAUGAUACAAGUGUAAUAAAUCCAUUUAAAGGAUGAUGUUUAGCCAUUGCCUUCUGCUUCAUUUCUGCCCUGCUUGGCUUAGGUAUUUAUGAAACAAUAAUGGGCAGACCCCAUGACACUCUUUAGGGCCCCAGGAAACCACCUCAGGAAAGGAAUCUUAAUGCCCUAAAGGCAUCAGUCCUUUCAAUUAAACAUCUAUUUGCAAAUGAAUUCUGGAGAAGCACGUAUCACCACUAAACCAGCUUUGGGUAAAAUGGAUGUUAGAAAACAAUUCAGUUGUGGACUGGCAUUUUACAGUACCUUUGAACAGUUUUAUUAAAAUAUCUAAUAGCCAGUUUUUCCAAAAUAGUAUCCUAUCAAUAUGAGCCAGAGACGAUCUCUGGCAGCAGUAUCAGAAAAGAUAGAACUUGAGAGUCUGGUGAUUUUAGAUUUUGUGCAAAAAAAAAAUAAUAAUAAGAAAAAUGGAAUUUUAAAUUUCUGAAACACAUGGCUCCACUGCCCAAGUCCAAGUACAGCAAAGCGGUUCAGCUUCAAGUUCAGACGGUAAAAGCAUUCGGAGGCUCCCUAUCUUCAAUUUGUAAUGUGCAGAGAGUAGAGAGUCAUUUAGUGGGAAAGUGCUGCCUUUGUUUGUGUUUUAACUUGUUUUUUGGGUUUUUUUUUUUCCCCCGAAAAUGAGGUUACAUCAACAGUGUAAGAUUAUUUUUUCUCACCACAAUCCAGAGUUUAGAACUGCCUAGUGUUAUUCCUUUCACUUCAUUGAUGAUGAAAGGCUCAGAGAAGUUAAGGGUUUUGCUUACAUCACCCAUCUGACCAAUGGCCUUGGCACAAAACUCCGAAAACUUUUGAGUCCAAAUCUCAAGUCCACCUGUGCCACCACAUGGCCAUAUUAUGAACUGGGUUCCAUAAACCUGCCUCUUUCAUGAAAGUCAGUGGAUUCCUUUGAGUCAAUAACAAGCCUGAAUUGUGAAUGUGCCUGAAUGUCACAAUCCACACUUUCUAAGUCCAAGUAUAACCAAUGUCUUCUUAUCCUGACAGCUACAUUCAAGAUACUCUGUCUCCUCUCAAAUAAAUGACUCCCCGGAUUAGAAAGGCUCAUGACCAAGGACUCAAGGUUACUAGUUCUUCUCUGCAGCAAAGCCAAGCUGCCCUCAUCAAUUUCUAUUGGUGCAGUAAGCCUAUUUAUAUUACCAGUAUAAAACACACCCACGACAAAACGGGAGAUGAAUCAGUUGCUGCUGUAACAAAUUUCCCAAAAGUCAGUGGUGUAUAUCAACACCAGUUUAUUCCCCUAGAGUUCUGGAAGUCAGAAGUCUGACAGGGGUCUCACUAGGCUAAAGUCAAGGUGUCAGCAAGCUACGUUCCUUUACCUUGGCUCUAGGGGACAGUGUAUCUUUGGUGGUUCUAGCUUCUAGAGGUUGCCUGCAUUUCUUAGGUCAUGCCUCUUCCCCUGUGUUUCAAGCCAGCAGCGCCCCAUCUCUAUAGCUGGACCCGUCCUCGCAUCUCUGAUUCUCCACAUCUGUCUCACUCUUCCACUUUUAAAGACCCUUGUGGGGUCUACUGGGCUCAGCUGGAGAAUCCAAGAUACUGUCCUGAUUUUGACAUCAGCUGAUUAGCAACCAUAAUCCCAUCUGCAAGCUUAAUUCCCCUUUUGUAUAUAAAGUAACUUAGUCACAUGUACUGGGAAUUGGGACAUGGGUGUUUUGGGUGGCCAUUACUCUGCCUACCCAGGAGGGAACUAAAACUUGAUAUAUCAUCUCACUUUGCUAGAUGGUGAUGGAGGGCUGCUCAUUUGAUCUGGGGCUUCAACCCUGCUCUGCCCUCCAAUAUGUAGGAUGCUGGCACAAGGCAGGACCAAUCAUGGCAUCCAUUCCCUGGGCCACCAUCUGGAAAGAUAGGCAUGGGACCCAUGCUGGGUCACUCAGUGUCCUUCUCUGGGAUUUUCUGACCUGAAGCUAAUAGGAAUGACCCCAUCUCCUCACCCCCUCUCCCCCUACUCCCAAAAAUUCUGUUACUAUUUGAACAAAGGGCUUUAUAGAGUCAUGCUUUCUUUAGGUUAGAAAAAUCUUUGCAGCACAGAGAAUGAAACCAAUUUGUAGAGAUGAGGAAAGGGAAAAAAGACAAGAGAGUGAAAUAAGAACAAUUUCUAGCGAUUUUUAAGUGCUGGAAUCUGAGAGUGUUAUCAAGGCAGGUCAUCUCCAUGUAGUACAGCCUUAUGAGGCAAGAACUUACCCAGUUUUGCUUAAGCAGGCUUAGGUUAAGCUUGCCUCCUUUGCAACCAGAGUCCUGAGAAAUCCAGACAGAAUGCCAAGAUUAUUUCUUGAGGAAUAUCAAGGUUCCUAGAAAAAUCUGAAGAAAUGCUGGAGUGAGGCAUGAAGGCAAAACAGGUCUCCAUCAGGGAUUCCAGUGAGCUUCUAAAAGCAGGAUAGGCACGAAAAUCCUUCUCACUCAUAAUCCCGCAGAAAAGAUUAGGCUAAGGAAGCAAAUACUACUUUGCACCUUAGAAGUCAAGGUCAGAGGCAAA
This 4509-nucleotide long non-coding RNA is filed under the name Sus scrofa (pig). RNAcentral describes it as "lncRNA (ENSSSCG00000054137.1, ENSSSCG00090028194.1, ENSSSCG00110037167.1)". Lineage: Eukaryota; Metazoa; Chordata; Mammalia; Artiodactyla; Suidae. The record is from RNAcentral.